GAUGAACGCUGGCGGCGUGCCUAAUACAUGCGAGUCGAGCGAACGGACGAGAAGCUUGCUUCUCUGAUGUUAGCGGCGGACGGGUGAGUAACACGUGGAUAACCUACCUAUAAGACUGGGAUAACUUCGGGAAACCGGAGCUAAUACCGGAUAAUAUUUUGAACCGCAUGGUUCAAAAGUGAAAGACGGUCUUGCUGUCACUUCUAGAUGGAUCCGCGCUGCAUUAGCUAGUUGGUAAGGUAACGGCUUACCAAGGCAACGAUGCAUAGCCGACCUGAGAGAGGGAUCGGCCACACUGGAAGGGGGACACGGUCCAGACGCCUACGGGAGGCAGCAGUAGGGAAUCUUCCGCAAUGGGCGAAAGCCUGACGGAGCAACGCCGCGUGAGUGAUGAAGGUCUUCGGAUCGGAAAACUCUGUUAUUAGGGAAGAACAUAUGUGUAAGUAACUGUGCACAGCUUGACGGUACCUAAUCAGAAAGCCACGGCUAACUACGUG
RNAcentral lists this ribosomal RNA (497 nucleotides) under uncultured bacterium. Its description in RNAcentral is "partial 16S ribosomal RNA". It matches the Rfam family "Bacterial small subunit ribosomal RNA", at positions 28 to 507 of the family's 1533-position model. The record is from RNAcentral.